This 402-nucleotide ribosomal RNA is filed under the name uncultured bacterium. Its description in RNAcentral is "partial 16S ribosomal RNA". It matches the Rfam family "Bacterial small subunit ribosomal RNA", at positions 355 to 774 of the family's 1533-position model. The record is from RNAcentral.
UGGGGAAUAUUGGACAAUGGGCGAAAGCCUGAUCCAGCCAUGCCGCAUGAGUGAAGAAGGCCUUUGGGUUGUAAAGCUCUUUUAGUGAGGAAGAUAAUGACGGUACUCACAGAAGAAGUCCUGGCUAACUCCGUGCCAGCAGCCGCGGUAAUACGGAGAGGGCUAGCGUUAUUCGGAAUUAUUGGGCGUAAAGGGCGCGUAGGCUGGUUAAUAAGUUUAAAGUGAAAUCCCGAGGCUUAACCUUGGAAUUGCUUUUAAAACUAUUAAUCUAGAGAUUGAAAGAGGAUAGAGGAAUUCCUGAUGUAGAGGUAAAAUUCGUAAAUAUUAGGAGGAACACCGGUGGCGAAGGCGUCUAUCUGGUUCAAAUCUGACGCUGAAGCGCGAAGGCGUGGGGAGCAAACA